Molecule: long non-coding RNA, 714 nt
Organism: Lotus japonicus
Lineage: Eukaryota; Viridiplantae; Streptophyta; Magnoliopsida; Fabales; Fabaceae
Exons: 3
Source: RefSeq, a predicted model, not a curated record
UCCACCCAUUAUAUUUUUAUCCAAUUCAGAACUGUAUACCCUUCUCUCUCUCUCGUUCUAAUUCUUCCCUGUGCAAAAAGAACCAACGCCGUAGUUCCUCACUUAUCUCCCUCCGUCUUCUUUUCUUCUUCACAAAACAUAAUUUGCACAAAAAUCCAACAAUAAAAAUACACACUCAUAAGGAGAAUUUCAGUAUUCAAGUAGAAGGGAUUUGGAGAAAACAUUUUGAGAGUUAGGGUUUGUGCUCUGAAAGAGGAAAAGAGUACCCACCCUUUUAGGAUUGCUUAUUUUGGCUUCUUUGAGAUUCAACGACGAGUAGGUCGUUCGGUGGUCGUGGGACUGUUGAAAUCAAUUGCGUUGAUUCGUCGUAGUUAUUCUCAGGCCACUAAGUAGCAGGCUCAUGUCAGAAUCAAGUCGAUCGAUUAUUUUAUUGGUAUGCCUCCUUUGGCUGGUGGCUCAAUUGGUGUCUUCUAUUAGAUUCUAGUUAUCUGCAGCUAUAGGGAGUCUUAGGUGGAUUGAUUCUGAAUCAUUAUUUAUUAUUUUACUUCAGAAAUUGUACCGUAGUGAUGAAAUUGGAAUUUGUGUUUUUAUGGAAUUAUGGUUAUGAUGAAAACCGAAUGACAGGUUUAUUGUUUUGGAAAUGUUGAUUUUGUAAAGGAGGUUCUGUUGAAAUAUUAUAAAAUAUAAAGAAACAUGUAUAAUUUUGGAAAAUAG